Molecule: long non-coding RNA, 11146 nt
Filed under: Lynx pardinus (Iberian lynx)
Lineage: Eukaryota; Metazoa; Chordata; Mammalia; Carnivora; Felidae
Source: RNAcentral
CGAGUCCAGAAUGACCUUCUUGUCAAAGACUGGACAACACUGCAGUGUGGACACAAGCCCCUUUCUUCACCCACGCCUCUGUCUCUGCACCUUGGGCUGCUUCUACCUCCUGAGUCCUGGGAAUUGCACAGCAAUGAACGGGGAUGUGCAAGUGUCUCUUCCAAACUUGCUUUCAAUUCUUAUGGGUAUAAAAUCAGAAGGGAGACUGCAACAUUGUACGGUAAGUCUGUUAAUUUGGAGGAAACUCCCACUCUGUUUUUGGGGGCGGGGGUGGGGGAAGGCUCUUUUGACCAUCAGGAGCAGGGGCAGCAGCUCUCACAGCUGCCUGACAGGGUGCAGAGCAUGUGUGAAGACGACUGGGUGGGGUCUCCAAGGGAGCAGAUAAAUGCCGAGGAUGGCCCAGUCCCCUGUCUGCUUAUUUGUUGAGGGACCUGGGAUCGAGAGGGGCGAGCUGGACGCUGCUAUUUCCAAGCUCUCCUUGCAACGAGGAGCCUGAAGCCCCAGUGCAGUGCAGGCUCCACAUCCCCAGGUCAGCCCCAGGACCCCCGGGUUUCCCCAGAAAGGGUUGUUCCUUGCCUUUCCUCCUCCACAGGGUCUCUCCUGACCCGAGGGGGGCUGUGUGGGAACCUUCAGAGUUUCUCCACCACCACCACCACCCCACCUGAGAAUGAGUCCCCUGGAACAUGAGUUCUGGGGGCCCUAAACCUCCCCCUAGCUCAGACUUCAAGGCACCUGGCUCUCCUCUGGCCAAAUUUGGGCAAAUGCCCUGAGGCUGGUCAAGGUGCCUUCAAUCAGCACCUUGUUUGAACUCCUCUCACCUUGACCUUCUGCUGGAGAGAUGAGACAUCCCCAAAGACCUCUUGGGACACUCACCACAGAGUUUCAGCUUUGGAAACCACCCCCACCCCAUCUCCAUUCAGCAAUUCUCACCCAGGCUUCACACCUUCCCUUUUCCACCCUACCCCCACAACCACGAGCUCUCCUUGGUAUCACUGAGAUUUUUCCUACCUCCUUUUUGGGUCCUGGCCACAGACCCUGAGCCACACAAGAGAAAGAAGUGAGGCUAGAAGCGGCGCACGAAGGCUUCAGACACCCCAUGUGUUGAUAAGAAGUUUAUUUGUCCAAUGUGCCAAAUCAGAAAGAACCGAGGCUGCAAAGCAAAAGAAAAGUUCAUCUGAAGUUCGAGAGAUUGGCAGCUAGGAGACACAGAUUCUCCACGACCAGAAACAGCUCAGAGCUGGGAGGAGAAAGAGUUGAUCAAGGGAAAACCCGAAGCUUGUUUAAGUGUUUUGGAAAGAAUUAUGCCUCCUUCAGCAGAAGGAAGCAAGCUAGCUUUCUUCCGAGAAGUGCCGCAGAAUGUCCCAUUUGUGGUUGGCAUAGGCUACGAUGUCACGUUGCAUCUAGGUGGGGACAUAUACAGGACCAUCUUUACAGCGGUCUCUGAGCUCCUUGUUAAAGAUUCUUAACAUUAGUGAUUCAAUUUCAAUGUUUCAGUGAACAGUUGUGAGCGGUCUUAUUUGUGAGUCUGGUAUAAUUUUAUAAUCGUAGUUUUGUAAUUCCUUUUAGAAUUUCUCAUUUGAAACACAAGUGAUGACUCACGGAGAGAGCUGAGAAUACAUAUAUGGUCCACUCAGUGUAGAUAAGCUGGUAAAGUAGUUUGCUCUCUUCUAGAUGACAAGUAUUUCCCCAGAGAGCCUGGAAUGCACAUGUAUUACAGCAGCUAAAGCACAACCACUUCUGUGGGUUUAGGAAACAUCUUGUCGUCUCGAAAAUAAUGUCGUAUAUUUGUAAAGAACUUUUUGACCAUCAGAUUGUGUACAAUAGAGGCAAGACUGCUCAGGGUGUAAACAACGGUCUUCUUCAACAGAAAGUGGCACAUCUUUUUUAACCAGUCCGUGAAUUUUUGUUGGUCCUCAACACGCGUCAUGUACAAGUUUGGUAUAGACAUUGUUAUCUUAUGCAUAACAAUGUUAGAUAUCAUUUCCAGUGUGAAUUCCAAGACCCAAGGUUUGAUAUUGAACAUAUUUGAGUUGGUAGAGGGCAUAGGAGGUUUGCACUAGUUCGCUUUGGGCCAAAAGACCGAAGAGAGCUUAGAGAGCCAGCCUUUUAUACUUUCUGGAACCAGUCACUCUCUGAUGCCCCGCCCCUAACACACAGGCAGGAGCCAAUGAGCUUGUCCCACGUGUGCCAGCAGCCAUUUGGCAGAGGCAAAAAACAAAAAAACAAGGGGAUUUUUUUACAAGGGGGUUUUGGUGACCAUGGUUACACUGAUGGAAAGGCAGGAUUUGGGGUUCUUUGUGUGAAGAGGACAAAAUUCAAGGGAUUUUUUUACAAGGGGGUUUUUGUGACCACGGUUACACUGAUGGAAAGGCAGGAUUUGGGGUUUUUUGUGUGAAGAGGACAAAAUUCAACCGGUUGGCCGGUCUGCUCUUAGUGGGAGGUUUGAAAAACAUGUCCUUUGUGGUCCCUGUAACCCCCCCUAGAAGGCAAGGUUCUGUCGUGGUCAAGGUUCAUGACACUGCUCACCCAAGGUGGAGCAGAACAGCAAUGGAUUCCAUCACAGUGAUGCAGAUUGAUCAUGGAUGGGGUUUGGAGUGUUGUUUGUGCUUUCGUGUUCUGAGGUCUGGAGAGGAGGAAGCCCUGUCUCUCUGCUCUGGAGCUGUCUAGAACUCGUUCAACAUAGAGAGUCCCAUCUAGACACUUCAAGGUUGUGAGGGCAAUCAACCAGAGGAGAACACUUUUUUUAGUUUCAAAGCAAGGAGAAGGCAUAGGUAACUGUCGAUCAGGGUUGUAGGUAAGUGUUGAUCACCGAACGUGGUGGAUGCGUGGCUGUUUUUCUGAUCUUCAACUGGGAGGGCCACGUUGACACAGAUGAAAACAUUUCAGCCUCAUGUAAACAUUAGAUUUAGCCUUCCGUCGAUCUCUAAAACAGAAACCCAGAUUGUUGGGUUCUGUUGCGAGAUAUUUUUUUCAAUGUUUAUUUACUUUUGAGAGAGAGAGAGAGACAGAGAGAGAGCGAGAGAGAGUGAGCCAGGGAGGGCCGGCAGAGGAUGUGGGGUGGGCUCUGGGCUGAUAGCAGAGAGUGCAAUGUGGAGCUGAAACUCACAAACAGUGAGAUCCUGACCUCAGCUCAAGUCGGACACUCACCUACAGAGCCGCCCAGGCGCCCCAGAUUGUCAGGUGUUUAAAUCAACAAGGCUUUCUAGAUUUCAACAAAGAAACGGUGACAAAGAAAGCUGAAGUCUCCAGUGGAAUGCCAGCUAGUAAACGUAGACGAAAUAGUGCAGUGAGCCGUUCGGUUUCCUCCAAGAUUUAACAGAUGUGAACGUUUUAGAAUUUGGCCUCCGGUCUCCUUUGCCAAACAAAAGGCAACAAGCUGCAUCAUAUCGGACACCAGCGCCUUCUCCCUUGCUGUCCUCCUUUGCCAGAGGUAACGACUUGCUGGUGGGUGAGGGUCUCAUCCUAUGUAGGAGACUUUUUACAGCGAUUUCACCCAUCCUUUUUAUAUAUGUUUGUAUUCAUCAAUAGUCCGUAACAUAGUUUCAUGUUCUUAUUUUACAGAAAUGGGUCAUAAGCUAAGUAUUUUUUGCAGCAGGCUUUGAAAAGCCUCUGAAGUCCUUUUUUUACGUACCUCAUUGUUGUUCUAGGAAUCUCCUUCAUUUCAUCUGCUGGGCAGGGUCUCAGCGGAGGAAGAAAGCAGACCUGUAUUCACAUGCUGUUGUAGGAAAAAGUAAUUUGGUAACUCUUGAUGGGUUUCAUUCCCAAUACAAUUUUUGCAGGCUUUUUGGGAGACAUGUAUGAGGUCAAUUCUUGUCUUUCUUUUUCUUUCUUUUUUUCUUUCUUUCUUCCCUGUCUUUAUUUUUUUUUUAAUGUUUAUUUAUUUUUGAGAGAGAUGGAGACAGAAUGGGCGUUGUUAGGGGCAGAGAGAGAGGGAGACACAGAAUCCAAAGCAGGCUCCAGGCUCUGAGUUGUCAGCACAGUGCCCGACGCGGGGCUCAGGCUGACAAGCUGUGAGAUCAUGACCUGAGCCAAAGUUGGACGCUCAAGCGACUCAGCUACCCAGGCGCCCCUCUUCCCUGUCUUUAAAAAGCCACCUGGAAUCCACUCUUUUGGUAGAAGACACGAGCAUAUGCCUCUCAGAAAUGAGAGGGCAAGCUCGAUGGGAAGCUCAUCUAGCAGGAAGGAUAGAGAAUAUUGGAGCAAUGUAAGAAGCUUGGUGUAUGUAUAUACAAAAUGUGGUAAAUUUUUUUUUCAAGCACAGAUGGCAACUGUAUGAAUAUUUGCCACAUACUGGGCCAAGACUGCAAAUUUUCAUCAAUGCACAGACAUGGAAGGCUCUAUAAACCCUGUGGUCGGUAGUCAGAGAACAGAAUGAAAAGUACAAGCUGAAAACAACUCCCUGAAUGGAAACCAUGUGUUUGUAAAACUCCUGCCUAAUGAGAAACUACAAUGGCAGUGUCACAAUAUGUAUAACUGACAGAAAAAUACUUUACAGAGAACACACAGGAUGCAACCCAGGGGAGCUUGUGGGGAAAUUUUAAAUGUUAAGAUGCUUAAAAGCAGAAAAAAGGAGCAAAGAAUAAAAAAUAACCAGAAGAAAAGCAUGAUAGGAGUCCUAAUAACCAACCUAAUACGAACUUGAGUUACUAUUUCCUUAUGUUUAUUUAUUUGUUUUGAGAGAGAAAGAGAGAGCGCAUGCCCAAGCAGGGCAGGGGCCGAGAAAAGGAGAGGCCGAAUCCCAAGCAGGCUCCUCACCGUCAGCGUCAGAGCCGGUACUGGGCUACAACUCACAAAGUGCCAGAUCAUGACCUGAGCUGAGACCAAGAGUCAGACGCUCAACUGACUGAGCCCCUCAGGCACCACUUGAGUUACCAUUUUGAAAUUUCCAUCAUUUCAAUGGGGAGAUUUUACACAUUCAUGACCUUAUUCUAACCUUACGCAUACUCUUGAGAGAAAGAGCGAACACAUUCCCAGCUCUUACCGUGAGACUAGAAUAACCUUGACCCUCAAACCAGAAAAAAUACGGAAAGGAAAAAUUACAGGCCAGGAGCAGCAUACACAAACCUCCUACAGAAAUAGGAACCACAGUCCAGCAGUGAAGGGAAAAGAUCACGUGCGUGAAUAUGAGGUUUAGUCCAGGAAUGCAGUUAGGUUAACAGGAGAAGAUCAGUGUAAUUCACAGCUUUAAUGGUUGAAAGAAGGAAAAUUACGUGACUUUUUGAAAGAUAACGUUAAAAAAAACUCUAUGUAAGAUUCAGCUACAUUUGAUGACAGAAACCCGUCAACAGAAAUAAAAUGAAACUUUCUGAAACUGAUAAAGCGUGUGUACAAAAUGGUAGAGCAAACGUAAUUUUAAGGUCAGGCGGCCAGGCUCGGGUGGGCUGCCAACACUGACUUGUAAGGGUGCGUGUGGGGUCCUUGAGCGCGCCGAGCCAGACACAUAAAAGAAAAGGUCUGAGAAGGAAAAGUGCAGAAACGAUGUCAUAAUUCACAUCUGAGAAGUUCUCAGAAUCAGUACAGUAGUUUCCCAAGAAUGCCUGAUAGGAGAUUCAUAUGUGAGGCUGAAUGACAUUGCUUUAUAAGAGCAAGUGUCAUUUAAAUAAUAUUUAUAGCAGCAACCGGAGAAUAAACAAAGAGCUUUGUAAACAAGGCCUUUAUUUAUUUACCACCUAAAACUUGACUGAACAUGAAAGUUUGCUGUUAAGUGGCAAUAACUAAGAGGACAAAUCCCCAACAGAAAGGAAAGAGAUACCAGGAGUGUCAGGAUCGGGAAGACUGCGCUUGGUGGAAGAGCUGUUCUCCCCAAAUUAUCUGGACAAUUACGAACUUCCCAAUAAAAACUGUCAUUGUUUUCUUUCCACUGGACAAGGGAAUUCUAAAAUUAAAGAGCUUAACAAAGGGCCCCGAAGAAGUGUAACAAGGUGGCAACGGCCCUACUAGAUAGAUAUCAAGAUGGAUCACCGAGCCACACUAUAGAAAACUGGUGCUGUGGCUCCACUGGGGACCUGAAUGUGGCAUCGGCCACCAUCCUACUCACACAUCGACACUUCAUAAGGGAGGUGGCCUGACAGAUAAAGUGGAGGAAAGAAGGCAGUUUUUAUAAAUGAGUCUGAAAAAUUGAUCACACACACACACACACACACACACACACACACACAGCCUUGGGAAAUUAUUCUAAAUUAGGUAGAGGAACACCAAUGUAAUGGUAAAAAUAUGAGUUCUAUAUUACACUUAAUGUCUCUUUAGAAAGGAUACUAGACGAAAGAGAUGUGCAGCACACAUAGUUGGCAAAGCAUGCCAUCCACAAUAUAUAAAGAUCCUUGCAAUAAAGAAAAACAAACCAAUAGAAAAGCUUGUAGAUGUCACCCAGAGAAGUUGGGUGGUGUCAUAGCAGACGUGAACGGGGAGGAACAUUCAUAGUGGCAGUGUUUGUAUAACAUAUGAGCAAAAGCAAAACAUCCCAAAUGUUCACCAGUUACCACAUUUCUUUCAGUGAAAGAAAAUGUGAUAAGUUCUUUUUUUAUUUUUUAAAUUUUUUUUCAAUGAUUUUUAUUUAUUUUUGGGACAGAGAGAGACAGAGCAUGAACGGGGGAGGGGCAGAGAGAGAGGGAGACACAGAAUCGGAAACAGGCUCCAGGCUCCGAGCCAUCAGCCCAGAGCCUGACGCGGGGCUCGAACUCACGGACCGCGAGAUCGUGACCUGGCUGAAGUCGGACGCUUAACCGACUGCACCACCCAGGCGCCCCAGAAAAUGUGAUAAGUUCUUAUGAUGGGAGAUGCGGAGACCAUCGCCAUCCAGGCACACCUGUGGGAGUGAAUCCUGGGAAUUUUUCCUGAACAAAGCAAGUGGCAUGAAAUUCAGUGUAAUUUCAUUUUUGUGAAGGUCAACAACGCUCAAUAUGAAAUGUAUGGCUUUUAAGGUUACAGCAUGUUAUUGAAAAAGAAGACGUGUAAGGGUAGGGGAAUAUUUUGCAGAAUAUGGCGGGGGGUGGGUUGGGCUGGCAGGGGGACUGGUGACAGCAUCCAUGGUGUGUGAGGUGCUGCUUCUCUUCUUCCUUGAGCUGGGUAAAGACUCAUAGGGAGUUCUGUGGGGGGGGGGGGGGUGGAGUUUAAAAAAACUUUUAAAAUGUUUAUUUAUUUUUGAGAGAGAGAGGAAGCAGAGUGUGAGCAAGGGCAGGGAGGGGCAGAGAGAAAAGAGGGAGACACAGAACUCGAAGCAGGCUCCAGGCUCUGAGCUGACAGCACAGAGCCCGACACGGGGCUCAAACUCACGAACCGUGAGAUCAUGACCUCAGCCGAAGUCAGACGCUAACCGACUGAGCCACCCAGGUGCCCCUGGAGUUUUUUUUAAAAAAUAAUUGUUGCUUUCAUUCCCUGCACAGAUGAUAUAAGCAAUUAUUUUGGGUAUAUCCAAUAGUCAAUAUGAAAACAAGAAAAAGGGGUGCCUGAGUGCCUAAGUCAGUUAAGCAUCCUACUUUGUCUCAGGUCAUGAUCUCAUGGUUGAUGAGUUCAAGUCCUGCAUUGGGCUCUCUGCUGACAGUGUGGAGCCUGCUUCAGAAUCUCUCUAGCUCCCUCCUUCCUCCUCUAUCUCUGUCAGUCCCUCUCUCUCUCUUUCAAAAUAAAGAAAGAAACUAAAAAAAAUAAAUCCUACUUGGUCAUGAUAAUUUUUUGUCUAUUUGUUUCCUGUUAUUGUUUUUUUUUUUUUAAUUUUUUUUUCAACGUUUAUUUAUUUUUGGGACAGAGAGAGACAGAGCAUGAACGGGCGAGGGGCAGAGACAGAGGGAGACACAGAAUCGGAAACAGGCUCCAGGCUCUGAGCCAUCAGCCCAGAGCCCGACAUGGGGCUCGAACUCACGGACCGCGAGAUCGUGACCUGGCUGAAGUCGGACGCUUAACCGACUGCGCCACCCAGGCGCCCGUUUCCUGUUAUUGUUAACUCUGCAUUUGGUUUACUAACAUUUACUUUGAUUUUUUUAUGUGAGUUUUUAUAAAGUUUAUUUUAUUUUUGAGAUAGAUAGAGAGCAAGCAGCAGAGGGACAGAGAGAAAGGGAGAGAAAGAAUCCCAAGCAGGCUCUGUGCUAUCAGCACAGAAAAGACUAGAGAGUACCCGAUGCAAGGCUCCAACUCAUGGACUGUGAGAUCAUGACCUAAGCCGAAAGCAAGAGCUGGACCCUAAAGUGACAGAGACACACAGGCACCCGUUGUCUGCGUAUUUGUAGGUGAAAUUGGCCCAUGGUUUUCUUAUCUGGUUUUGGUAUGAAGCUAUUCAAGUAGCCUCACGUACUGGACUAGGAAGUAUUCUUCUUGUAAAACUUUUUAUUCUUGGAGGAGUCUGUUGAAGGUUAUCUUUAACUUGAAGAUUUGUUAACUCUCACCCAUAAAGACCAUCAGGGCCUGGUACUGUUUUUUUGACCGAGGGAAAUCAGCGGCUCACGUUUUAAUUUUUUAAUGGUUAUUGCUCUAUUCAUAUUAAGACUUUUGUUUUGAGGUAAGUUUUGGUGAUUGACAUUUAUUUUGAUAAUUGUUCAUUUAAUCCAUAUGUGAAAAUACAUUGGCAUAGUUUUUGUGGUAGUCUCUGAUAAAUUUUACAAUCUCUCUUGUAUCUUCCUGAGAAGUCCUUAAAGAUUUUUACCAACGUACCAAUUGAUCCCUUUCUCUCUGUGUCUGUUUCUGUCUUUCUAUCCGAACACCAUGGUUUCGUGGGAACUGUACAAGGUGGAGGGAAACUCGCAGCAAAGAUUCUCUCCUGGACCAGACUUUAGUCAGGCUGUCUCAGCCAUUUGCUUAAGGAGGUCUGACUUGGGCUUCAGGUCCAGUUUGAGCAAGAAACCUGUGAAGGCCAUUGAGCCAUAAUCCUCCCCCCCCGUGAUAUCUGAGCACCCUCCUUUUCUGACCAAAUUCUCACCCCAGCAGCAUCUGCUAGGUAGUACAUGAUCACUCCCGCUAUCUUCAGUAAGAACCCUGUUAGGUCUUCUUGGCAAGAAUUACCUUCUUGGUAAAUUUCCACCGCUGACUGCCCCACCCUGCUCCUUGGCUAUAAGUCCCAUUUAGUCUUGUUGAUUUGGAGUUGAGUCCAAUCUGUCCCUCCUACUGCAAAGCCAUUGUAGCAAUCGGCCUCAAUAAAGUGUGCCUCAACAUGAGUAAUGACUAUCAGAAUAGGUUUUCAUUAACACAUGGAAACACGUGAUUACAGUAUGGUUGACGAGGGCUACAUGAAAGUACAUAACAGGAGCUGUGGGGUUACAAGGGAAUUGAUAAGGGGCUUGUAAAGUUUCAAGACUUUGGAAAAUAGUAAGACAAGUGACGAGAUGGUGUUCAGAAUGAAACAAAAGACUAGAGAAAUAACAAAUGGGGGAGACUGAGAGAAAAUGAGCCCACCUUUAUGGGCAGGGCAAGGAAGGACCCCUUAGAGCAAGUGUCCAGGAGAGCUUAGCUGUCUGAUGGGUAUUUCAGUAUUUUACGUCCAAAAUGAAGCUCCUGAGUGUUUCUCUUUCCCUCAUGUUUUCCCUGAAAUACUACCUACCCCAGUUCCCAAUAUCAUAAAAUGGUGCCAUUGCCCUCUGUGUGUUGAACAAGUCAAAAUCUUGAUAAGGAGCAGUGAGAACCUUGCAUUGUGGAUGCACUUUUCAAGUGUGUUUGGGGAUAUGCGGUGCUGGAGAUGGAUGCCUUUCCAGCACUUUCUAGCAUGUGGCCUGUGAGGUUUGUCCUGGAGUUCUGAUGGCUGGACUCAGGAAACCCGUCAGUGGGGAUACUUUCAAGGAAAGCAAGACUGUAAGAAAAGUGUAAAAAUAAUGAUAAUUUACAUAAAAAAUAAGAGUUCUGGCUGAAGAAGUACAGUGGAUGUUCCUCAUAAUCUUCAGUGUUGGAGAAAUAGGACAAUUCAUACAUUCUUUCAGUGUUGAAAUGAAUUAGUUGACAGGAAAAUCCAAACCUUUAAACUUUGGGGGCGCCUGGGCGGCUCAGUCGGUUGGGCGUCCGACUUCAGCUUGGGUCACGAUCGAUCUCGCGGUCCGUGAGUUCGAGCCCCGCGUCGGCUCUGGGCUGAUGGCUCAGAGCCUGGAGCCUGCGUCCGAUUCUGUGUCUCCCUCUCUCUCUGCCCCUCCCCCGUUCAUGCUCUGUCUCUCUCUGUCUCAAAAAUAAAUAAACAUUAAAAAAAAUUAAAAAAAAAAUAAACUUUGUUUCAGGUGAGACAAGCUGAGUGUCAUCGUCAGAAAGAAGGCAGCUGACAGUUCACUUCCAAUGUGACUCUUUUCUCCAGAUGAUACUUCCGUGUGACCCAAGCCAGUACAGUCCCCAGAAACCCAGAGUGAAUUCCAUAUUAUCUGAUAGAACGUCUUACACUUGGACUCAGAGACUCAGGUGGUUACCUGUAGGUCCAUGUGUUGGAUCUGGACCCAAUGAGUUUUCUGGUUUGCUGGUCACCAGAGAUACCCGAGGAUGUUCCUUAUGCCCCAGCAUUGGCCUGUUCCCUUUCCCUUUCUGUCAGCACAGGACCCCCAUGGGGACCCUGAAGGUUCCUAGAACAUGGUUGGUCACGGGUCUCUGAGGAUGAGCUACCAUGGACGCCGUGAGACAGAACCUGCGUGCUGGCAGGUGCACACUCCCAGGCUCUCACAGAUCACCCCGGACAUAUGUCAACAUCUAUGUUCUUAUUCGUGGUCGUGUGAGGACACCUGGUGUCUGAGGGGAGAAGGGAGGAUUAGGCUUUUGAGUAAUGGUGUGUUUGCUUCUGCCAGUACCCUGCUGAUGGUGGAUUUUUAUUUGUGUUUUUGUUUGUUUUUUAGUAUAUUCAAGCAUGAGGAAUUGGAAACAAAAGAUAAUCAGGAGAAAAUGUAGUUUGGAUUAUUUUAUUCUACUCAGACCCAUAAAGUAGAGACAUGCAAGAAAUAUCAGUUGAACACAGGAAACAAAGACGAGGGAAGGAUGCAAGUGGUUAAUAGUGACCUGACCGGUGACUCUGACUCCUUAGCUUCAAUGGAUAGCACCGUGCUGGCCACCAGCAGGGCGGCCAGGAAACAGCGUCCCAGGCUGUGGCUCAGGAAGGGGCUGUUGCAGGUGGGACCUCGCUCCAGUCCGUGUGCUCUGUCAGCUGUCCCACUGCCCACUCAACUCCAUCCCCACCUAGUCUGGAGACCUCCCAGCCCAG